AUCUAGAUAGUUUAAGUAAAAUAUUGGUUUGUGGUGCCGAUGAUAUGAAUUUUUGUUUUAGAUU
Molecule: transfer RNA, 64 nt
Filed under: Odontotermes sp. 6 TB-2017
Lineage: Eukaryota; Metazoa; Arthropoda; Insecta; Blattodea; Termitidae
Description: tRNA-His
Source: RNAcentral